UUUCGGUUGAUCCUGCCGGAGGCUACCGCUAUUGGAGUUCGAUUAAGCCAUGCGAGUCGCGAGAAAUUAGAUUCUCGGCGUACCGCUCAGUAACACGUGGGUAACCUGCCCUAUGCUGGAUAAUAACCUCGGGAAACUGAGAAUAAUGAUCCAUAGUUCACUACGCCUGGAACGGUGAGUGGAUGAAAGCCCCGGCGGCAUAGGAUGGGCCUGCGGCGUAUCAGGUUGUAGGGGGUGUAACGUACCCUCUAGCCCUCUACGCGUACGGGUGUUGGGAGACAUAGCCCGGAGAUGGAUUCUGAGACACGAAUCCAGACCCUACGGGGUGCAGCAGGCGCGAAAACUUGGCAAUGCGAGAAAUCGUGACCAGGGAACUCCAAGUGCAUCGGGUAAGACCGGUGCUUUUCUUGGCUCUAAAUAGGUCUUGGAAUAAGGGGUGGGUAAGGACGGUGCCAGCCGCCGCGGUAAUACCGGCGCCUCAAGUGGUAGUCGCUUUUAUUGGGCCUAAAACGUCCGUAGCCGGUCUGAUACAUUCGUGGGUAAAUCAACCAGCUCAACUGGUUGAAUUCUGCGAGGACGGUCAGACUUGGGACCGGGAGAGGUGUGGGGUACGCUCAGGGUAGGGGUAAAAUCCUGUCAUCCUGAGCGGACCACCUGUUGCGAAGGCGCCACACUAGAACGGAUCCGACGGUCAGGGACGAAGCCUAGGGGCACGAACCGGAUUAGAUACCCGGGUAGUCCUAGGUGUAAACGCUGUGGACUUGAUGUUGGGGGUGCUCCGAGCACUCUCAGUGUCGAAGCGAAGGUGAUAAGUCCACUGCCUGGGAAGUACGGUCGCAAGGCUGAAACUUAAAGGAAUUGGCGGGGGAGCACCGCAACCUGAGGAUUGUGCGGUUUAAUUGGAUUCAACGCCGGA
This 916-nucleotide ribosomal RNA is filed under the name uncultured archaeon. RNAcentral describes it as "bacterial SSU rRNA". It matches the Rfam family "Archaeal small subunit ribosomal RNA", at positions 1 to 922 of the family's 1478-position model. The record is from RNAcentral.